GCAGGCGGAGCUCCUUAGCACUGAACAGCCUCCGGGCCUGGCUCCUUCCGCGCUGCCCGAGACGAGCUCACAAACCGGCCCACGAGAACCUGACAGCAGUGACUGCGACGCCUUUCUUAUGGAAUUACAUGGGAAUCUCUUAUUGUAAUGCAUGAACAGACACGGCUUUAAGAACGACAAAACUUCUUGAAAUGCAAAACAGCGAUGAAAAUGCAAGUCUCAGAUUUACUGACAUACAAGAA
RNAcentral lists this long non-coding RNA (242 nucleotides) under Mus spicilegus (steppe mouse). RNAcentral describes it as "lncRNA (ENSMSIG00000029271.1)". The record is from RNAcentral. Lineage: Eukaryota; Metazoa; Chordata; Mammalia; Rodentia; Muridae.